GUAGGGAAUAUUAGAAAUGGACGAAAGUCUGAUCUAGCAACACCGCGUGUGCGAAGAAGGCCUUCGGGUCGUAAAGCACUUUUUGGAAGGAAUAGGAAGGAAUGUACUUCCAGAAUAAGUCUCGGCUAACUACGUGCCAGCAGCCGCGGUAACACGUAGGAGGCAAACGUUAUCCGGAUUUACUGGGCGUAAAGCGCGUGUAGGUGGUACUGUAAGUAGGGCGUGAAAGCUCCUGGCUCAACUGGGAGAGGCCGUUCUAAACUACAGAACUAGAGGAUGGUAGAGGGAGGUGGAAUUCCAGGUGUAGCGGUGGAAUGCGCAGAUAUCUGGAGGAACACCGGUGGCGAAGGCGGCCUCCUGGACCAUUCCUGACACUCAGACGCGAAAGCUAGGGUAGCAAACGGGAUUAGAUACCCCGGUAGUCC
RNAcentral lists this ribosomal RNA (425 nucleotides) under uncultured bacterium. Its description in RNAcentral is "bacterial SSU rRNA". It matches the Rfam family "Bacterial small subunit ribosomal RNA", at positions 354 to 796 of the family's 1533-position model. The record is from RNAcentral.